GCUGAAUGGAAUGCUAUUGAAUGACAAACAAGUAUAUGUUGGACCUUUUCUUCGGAAGCAGGAAAGGGAGAACAUGUCAGACGUGACUAAAUUUAACAAUGUUUUUGUCAAAAAUCUUUCGGAGUCUACAACUGAAGAUGAUUUAACAAAAACUUUUGGUGAAUUUGGAAAUAUAACUAGUGUCGUAGUUAUGAGGGAGGGUGGUAAGUCGAAGGGCUUUGGGUUU
This 226-nucleotide unclassified non-coding RNA is filed under the name Hevea brasiliensis (rubber tree). The record is from RNAcentral. Lineage: Eukaryota; Viridiplantae; Streptophyta; Magnoliopsida; Malpighiales; Euphorbiaceae.